This 253-nucleotide ribosomal RNA is filed under the name uncultured bacterium. RNAcentral's name for it is "partial 16S ribosomal RNA". It matches the Rfam family "Bacterial small subunit ribosomal RNA", at positions 524 to 776 of the family's 1533-position model. The record is from RNAcentral.
UACGAAGGGGGCUAGCGUUGUUCGGAAUCACUGGGCGUAAAGGGCGCGUAGGCGGCUUUAUAAGUCGGGGGUGAAAGCCUGUGGCUCAACCACAGAAUUGCCUUCGAUACUGUAGAGCUUGAGUUCGGGAGAGGUGAGUGGAACUGCGAGUGUAGAGGUGAAAUUCGUAGAUAUUCGCAAGAACACCAGUGGCGAAGGCGGCUCACUGGCCCGAUACUGACGCUGAGGCACGAAAGCGUGGGGAGCAAACAGG